UGCAAGCCCUGCCAUGCAUUGGGGUAGAUG
This 30-nucleotide non-coding RNA is filed under the name Mus musculus (house mouse). Lineage: Eukaryota; Metazoa; Chordata; Mammalia; Rodentia; Muridae. The record is from RNAcentral.